AACAUGCCAAAACAAUCAUCUUAGGUUCCUAACCAAUGUACCCUCAUUGGUACCACAUUUAUAUCAUUAAAACCUAUCAACAAUGCAUCAUUCAAAUCAAAGUUUAAAACAUACCAAAUCACUCAAUUUAACCUAGCUUAUAACUACCUAAAACAUCAAGCUUAAAUUCACAUACACCUAACAAGCCUUGGUUCAAAACAAC
RNAcentral lists this long non-coding RNA (202 nucleotides) under Gossypium raimondii (Peruvian cotton). RNAcentral's name for it is "long non-coding RNA (GRAI_LNC002256)". The record is from RNAcentral. Lineage: Eukaryota; Viridiplantae; Streptophyta; Magnoliopsida; Malvales; Malvaceae.